Molecule: ribosomal RNA, 253 nt
Filed under: uncultured bacterium
Lineage: Bacteria
Description: partial 16S ribosomal RNA
Rfam family: Bacterial small subunit ribosomal RNA
Source: RNAcentral
UACGAAGGGGGCUAGCGUUGCUCGGAAUCACUGGGCGUAAAGGGUGCGUAGGCGGGUCUUUAAGUCAGGGGUGAAAUCCUGGAGCUCAACUCCAGAACUGCCUUUGAUACUGGCGAUCUUGAGUCCGGGAGAGGUGAGUGGAACUGCGAGUGUAGAGGUGAAAUUCGUAGAUAUUCGCAAGAACACCAGUGGCGAAGGCGGCGACCUGGGUAGAUACUGACGCUGAGGUGCGAAAGCGUGGGGAGCAAACAGG